This 478-nucleotide ribosomal RNA is filed under the name uncultured bacterium. RNAcentral describes it as "bacterial SSU rRNA". It matches the Rfam family "Bacterial small subunit ribosomal RNA", at positions 30 to 506 of the family's 1533-position model. The record is from RNAcentral.
UUGAACGCUGGCGGCAUGCUUUACACAUGCAAGUCGAACGGUAGACCCUUUCGGGGGUUGAGAGUGGCGAACGGGUGAGUAAUGCAUCGGAACAUACCCAGUCGUGGGGGAUAACGUAGCGAAAGUUACGCUAAUACCGCAUGAGUCCUGAGGGAGAAAGCGGGGGAUCGCAAGACCUCGCGCGAUUGGAGUGGCCGAUGUCAGAUUAGCUAGUUGGUGGGGUAAAGGCCUACCAAGGCGACGAUCUGUAGCGGGUCUGAGAGGAUGAUCCGCCACACUGGGACUGAGACACGGCCCAGACUCCUACGGGAGGCAGCAGUGGGGAAUUUUGGACAAUGGGCGCAAGCCUGAUCCAGCCAUGCCGCGUGAGUGAAGAAGGCCUUCGGGUUGUAAAGCUCUUUCAGACGGAAAGAAAUCGGGCGCGUGAAUAGCGUGCCUGGAUGACGGUACUGUCAGAAGAAGCACCGGCUAACUACGU